RNAcentral lists this long non-coding RNA (2308 nucleotides) under Olea europaea subsp. europaea. Lineage: Eukaryota; Viridiplantae; Streptophyta; Magnoliopsida; Lamiales; Oleaceae. The record is from RNAcentral.
GCAAAAACGGGAGAGGGCAGAGAGAGAAAUCGAGAAAAAAAAAGAAGAAAAGAAAGAAAGGAAGAAAGAAAGAAAGAAAGAAAGGUGAAGAAGAAGAAGGGAAAGAGGUAGUUCAAGGUUUAUCUUCAUUUUUCCUUCUCUUUAUUUUUUUCAAGAGGUAGAUAAAUUUUAUGUUUAAGUUGCUAGGGUUUAAUUUGUGGCUAAAAUUUCAUAUUUUUGCAAGAUGAGUACAAAUUGGAGUUCAAGUCUGUUGAUUAUUUAAUUUUCAAUUUCAUUAAGGUAAGAAUACCAAUUUUUGGCAAAUCCUAAAUUUUUAUUUGGGAUUCCUAAUUAUGAAAUGUUAGUGGGAAUGAUUAUAUUGAUGGAAAACUCUCAUGAAACCAUGAAUUUGAGAAACAAGAUGAAAAUUAAAAUAGGUGGAAUUAUUGUUACUAGUUUUCAUUAGAUUGGAAGGUAUAAUUAUUUUUUAUGAGUUGGGUGAAGGUAAAUUUGGAUGUAGUAUAUAUUUGUGAAGGUAUUAGAAAGUAGAAUUAGCUCUUAUCGAUUAAAGGAAAAUUUGGGAAAAUUAUUCAAAGUAUCGAGAAGUCAAGUUUUUAGUAUUCGACUAUUAAUAUUAAGAAAUACUUAAUACAAGAUUUGUUAAAUUAGUUAUUUUACAUCGUAUUUCAGGUGGUGACGUGAAAACUAGGCAAGAUUGGUAAAUUUAACCAGAUUGCAAUCCAUAGAUUUGUUAGUGGAGAAUCUAUGUUUUCAAAAAGAGUAUUUUCUUUUUAUUUUAUAGAAGCAUGUUAAUUACAUGAAAUGCUUUAUUUUCGAGAAGUAGUAAAUGAGCAUGAUUGUUUUGAAAUUAUCAUAAAAUAAUUGAUGUGAUUAUCUUACUCUAGUGUAUUGAAGGGCUACGGCCAUGUACUAGAGUCAUGUAUAUAACUCUUAUCCAUUGAGGGGCUAUGGCCACGGGUAAAGGUAUCCAAUAUAUACUGAGGGACUAUAGCAUUGUGUAAGGGUAACUUUUAUCCACUGAGGGGCUACGGCCGUGGGUAAAAGGUAUCCAUUAUACACUGAAGGGCUACAGCUGUGUAUAUGGAUGAUUGUGUUGUUUCCAUCGUGUACACUCAGGGGCUACGGUCGUGUACAGAGUGUUGAUCAGACGAUUUAUAUACAUAUGAUUAUAUAGCUUUCAGAUCAUCAGUAGAUGUAAACGUGGGGUAUAUUUUGAUGUGAAUUUUAUGUAUACAGUGGAUUAUUAGCCUUCAGCUUACAUUUCCCCGUAUACAACUCAGCUUAUAGAAUUCAGAUUAUAGAAUUCAAAUUGUUCAGUUUUCAGAGAAAAGCUUCUAGUUUAUAGUAUUGAGCAACAACAAUAUUUCACAGAUUUUCAUAGAUGUCAGAUUAUUUAUAUCCGUUAUAUUUUACAGCUAUUGAAUUAGAAUGAAGAAUAAAGAAUUUUAUGAUCCAAUUAUGUCAAUUUUAAAAGUGUUACUAAAUUUCUGAAUUUCUCAAAGGUUUAAUAGAACAAGAAUUAUGCAUAUAUAAAAAAGUAUACUUAUUUUUAAUUUAUCCACUCACUGAGUUACAAACUCAUAUUUUGUUACUUUUUUUUCUUAGCAGAUAGCAGCUAUGCAGCCUUAGAGCCUAUUGAUCCACCGAGAGUGCCACACACACACACAUUGUCCUUAAAUGUAUGACUUAUUUCGUCAAUUUAUAUAGUUCAAAAUUUUUAGGAUACAUGUAUGUUUUGACUGAAACGUUAAUUGGUAAUUUAUAGAUCCAUACCAUGGAUUCACUGCAUAUUUAGUAUUCUCAUUGCUUUUGGGGUCUUUUGUUUAUAAAAUAUGAUAAAUGUCUUGAAUAGUUUGUAUUUUGAAGGACUAGCGUGUUAUAUUUUAAAUUAUAUGUACAAUUUUGAUAAAGUUGAUGUUUGUUUAGGUGAUUUAGUCCAUAUUUUAAAGGAAAUUCUGUCAAUUUUUAUAUAAAUAUGUUAUAGUCAAAGUAGGUCAAGUUCGCCUUGAUGGUAGGUCUAGCACUUAGUUGGUAUCUACCAUUGGCGCAUGACACGUUCGGGUGUAUUAGGGUGAUUCGGGAUGAAUCGUGUCAAUUGGUAUCAGAGCAUGGUGAUGAAGUUCUGAAUUUUUUUUGUAGUUCCCGCAUUAGCAUAUCAUGCAUAUUCAAUGUGUGUGGUCGCAUGUCGUAGUGGUAGAAAUCACAGGCUCCCAGCUCUUGCUGCAAGAUGUAUGGAACCUCAACGAUAUAAGAACAUGUUUAGUAGAUUCGUAAAUGGCUAGAAUGUAAAUAUGACGGUUGCAAAGAU